GAGUGUGGAGUGCUGGAGUCCAAACUCUUUAGGGAUGGUUUUGUAGCCUCUUCCAGACUAAUGAGCAUCAACAACUCUUCAUCUGAGCUCCUCAGAAAUCACCAUCGUUCGUGCCAUUUUAUACUUCCACAAGCAUGUGUUGUGAAGAUCAGACUUUGAU
This is a long non-coding RNA of Bufo bufo (common toad), 160 nucleotides long. RefSeq lists it as uncharacterized. The record is from RefSeq and is a predicted model, not a curated record. NCBI's taxonomy places the organism in Eukaryota, Metazoa, Chordata, Amphibia, Anura, Bufonidae. The transcript has 3 exons.